This 1247-nucleotide long non-coding RNA is filed under the name Phascolarctos cinereus (koala). RNAcentral's name for it is "lncRNA (ENSPCIG00000010831.2)". The record is from RNAcentral. Lineage: Eukaryota; Metazoa; Chordata; Mammalia; Diprotodontia; Phascolarctidae.
CACCAAGGAUUAUCUAAGGAUAGCUAGUUUUUAAAUUGUGAAAAGUAUAAGUAAGCUAAGGCUUCAUUACCUUCCAUUCUUUCAGGGAAAGUUUCAGUUCACAGCUUGCAAGGAUGUGCUGUCCUCUCUUUAAACUUGCUAUGGUUUUACCAAAAUAUUCCUCUGAAAAGGAAACUCCAGUGUUUACACAGAUGCUGUUAUCAGGGCAUAUUAUAUGCGGAAUUUCAGCCUUAGCUGUUCCAUGCAUGACACAAUAGAAUGAUUAUUGGAUUUCAAGUCAGAGAACCAGGGUACAAAAACCACCUCCAUCGCUUUAGCAGAGUGAUCCUGGGCAAGUUAUUUGAAUUCUUUGCGCCUCAGUUUCCUUCAUCUGUACAGGGAAGAGGUUUGGCUGGAUUAACUCCCCUUCCAGCUCUGCCUCUGUGUCUGCUCUUACAUGGUAGCCAGGAGUUGCUUUCACCACAUUGUACAGCUCCUCUGUGGAUAGGAGUACAAAAUGAGGACCUCCGUUAUAGGAUCUGCAGUCUCCCAGAGUGGAAGGAAUGGCCACACAGAUUAAAUCAAGGAACUUUCCAAGCAUCAAAUUAAAGUGUCUUAAAAAAAAUUGCUCCUGUACCCUGCCACUUCGUGCUAUUGUUACUAUCCUGUCCUGCUUCUUCUAAUUUGUGGUGUAUAAUCUUCUGUUGGCUAUUGGAAUAUGUGUAUAGUUAGAGUAAAUAGGCAUUGAGUGAGGACCCAAGGGACUCUCACAAAGUACAUGAGCUUUCAAACGUAGACUUUGGCUGGAUCCUUCCCACUUUUCUAUCUUCUCACACCUUUCACCUCUUCACAUCUUCUGUAAUCCAGUGAUACUGGCAUGCUCGCUGUUCCUCACACAUGACUCCAUCUCCUGACUAAACAUUUAUACUGGCUCUCUCCCAUACCUGCAGCUUUUUCCUUCUUCAUCUCUGCCUCCUAGCUCCUCAGACUUCCUUCACGUCUCAGCUAAAAUCCUACCUCCUUCAAGAAGCAUUUUAUAAUCCUUCUCAAUCUUAGUUCUUUCUUUCUGAGACCGUCUUCAAUUUAUCCCAUCUUUAUCCUGUUUGUACACAGCUGUUUGCAGGUUGUUGUCUGAAUUACCCGUAAACUCCUUGAACAAGGACUGUUUUUGUUUGUUUUUUCUUUGCCUUUCCUUGUAACUUAGCACAGUGCCCGGCACAUAGGAGGGACUUAAUAAAUGAUAUUUGACUGACUGUUAGGAGACCUUG